Molecule: long non-coding RNA, 588 nt
Organism: Ostrea edulis (European flat oyster)
Lineage: Eukaryota; Metazoa; Mollusca; Bivalvia; Ostreida; Ostreidae
Exons: 3
Source: RefSeq, a predicted model, not a curated record
UAAGGAUGUAAGAAAUCACAUUUACAGGGCACCGAGAUUUUGCCAGGUAGUUUAGAACUGUGUGCAUUGGUUUUGGAAGAAUUUGGGCUGUUUAGGCUAAAAUCCAUUAUGAUUGGACAGAAUAUGAACACACACAUCCAAUACUUCAAAGAUAUUAUGUUUGUGGAGGCAGAGAUUUUGAUUGCAUCCACUGUUUAGAAUACAUCCUUAAGGGAAGCAGACUGCCGCCUUUACCCAAUGAUAUAAUGAUUAAUCAUAACUAUAUAUGUUUUGUACCAAAUAGAAAGAGCAUUGAUUCAGGUCAUUUUCAAAUCCACUGGCAUACAUUGUACUAUACAUGCAACCUUUUCAAACUUUACAUUUAAGAUUUUAUAAAGGAAAUAUCUUAAUGUUUCACAUGUUUACCUUUCACUGUGCUAUGUAAUUCAUUAUACCUGCCAUUAUGCCAGUCUUCCUGAACAUAAUUUGUUUUCUGCAAUUUCAUUGGCCAAGAGGCUUAAUCCUGGGUUAUCAGAUUGAGCAUUUAUAUUUAGUAUCCCAUUGAUUUUGUCAGCCCUAUAUAAGGAGAUGACUCAGAUUUACUCACUC